UACGGAGGGUGCAAGCGUUAAUCGGAAUCACUGGGCGUAAAGCGCGCGUAGGCGGCUUGAUAAGUCAGGCGUGAAAUCCCUCGGCUCAACCGGGGAACUGCGUUUGAUACUGUCAGGCUUGAGUGCCGGAGGGGGUGGCGGAAUUCCGGGUGUAGGAGUGAAAUCCGUAGAUAUCCGGAGGAACACCGGUGGCGAAGGCGGCCACCUGGACGGCAACUGACGCUGAGGCGCGAAAGCGUGGGGAG
RNAcentral lists this ribosomal RNA (245 nucleotides) under uncultured bacterium. RNAcentral's name for it is "partial 16S ribosomal RNA". It matches the Rfam family "Bacterial small subunit ribosomal RNA", at positions 524 to 768 of the family's 1533-position model. The record is from RNAcentral.